RNAcentral lists this ribosomal RNA (499 nucleotides) under uncultured bacterium. RNAcentral describes it as "partial 16S ribosomal RNA". It matches the Rfam family "Bacterial small subunit ribosomal RNA", at positions 30 to 523 of the family's 1533-position model. The record is from RNAcentral.
AUUGGACGCUGGCGGCAUGCUUUACACAUGCAAGUCGAACGGUAACAGGGUGCUUGCACCGCUGACGAGCGGCGAACGGGUGAGUAAUGCGUCGGAACGUGCCGAGUAGUGGGGGAUAACGCAGCGAAAGUUGUGCUAAUACCGCAUACGUACUGAGGUAGAAAGUGGGGGACCUUCGGGCCUCACGCUAUUCGAGCGGCCGACGUCUGAUUAGCUAGUAGGUGAGGUAAAGGCUCACCUAGGCGACGAUCAGUAGCGGGUCUGAGAGGAUGAUCCGCCACACUGGGACUGAGACACGGCCCAGACUCCUACGGGAGGCAGCAGUGGGGAAUUUUGGACAAUGGGCGAAGCCUGAUUCAGCCAUGCCGCGUGUCUGAAGAAGGCCUUCGGGUUGUAAAGGACUUUUGUCAGGGAGGAAAUCCCUAGUGCUAAUAACACUGGGGGAUGACAGUACCUGAGGAAUAAGCACCGGCUAACUACGUGCCAGCAGCCGCAGUAA